Molecule: ribosomal RNA, 476 nt
Filed under: uncultured anaerobic ammonium-oxidizing bacterium
Lineage: Bacteria
Description: bacterial SSU rRNA
Rfam family: Bacterial small subunit ribosomal RNA
Source: RNAcentral
UUCGCAAUGCCCGAAAGGGUGACGAUGCGACGCCGCGUGAGCGAAGAAGGCCCUAGGGUUGUAAAGCUCUGUCGAGGGUUAUGAAAUAUAGAUGGGUUAAUACCCCAUUUAUUUGACAAAAGCCCAAAAGGAAGCCACGGCUAACUCUGUGCCAGCAGCCGCGGUAAUACAGAGGUGGCGAGCGUUGUUCGGUAUUAUUGGGCGUAAAGAGCACGUAGGUGGUUUUGUAAGUCAGGUGUGAAAGCCUUCUGUUCAAAGGAAGAACGGCAUCUGAAACUGCAGAUCUUGAGUGUAGGAGGGGAGAGUGGAACUUCUGGUGGAGCGGUGAAAUGCGUAGAUAUCAGAAGGAGCGUCGGCGGCGAAAGCGACUCUCUGGCCUAUUACUGACACUGAGGUGCGAAAGUUAGGGGAGCAAACGGGAUUAGAUACCCCGGUAGUCCUAACCGUAAACGAUGGGCACUAAGUAGAGGGGUUUU